Caenorhabditis elegans is the source of this 21-nucleotide non-coding RNA. NCBI's taxonomy places the organism in Eukaryota, Metazoa, Nematoda, Chromadorea, Rhabditida, Rhabditidae. The record is from Ensembl.
UUUGAAAUCACAUUGAUAACA